RNAcentral lists this non-coding RNA (30 nucleotides) under Mus musculus (house mouse). The record is from RNAcentral. Lineage: Eukaryota; Metazoa; Chordata; Mammalia; Rodentia; Muridae.
UAGGAUCUGUGGUCAUAUGUAUGAAUGGUC